UGCCUGAUUCACCCACCAGCUUUAUCUGU
RNAcentral lists this non-coding RNA (29 nucleotides) under Rattus norvegicus (Norway rat). The record is from RNAcentral. Lineage: Eukaryota; Metazoa; Chordata; Mammalia; Rodentia; Muridae.